RNAcentral lists this ribosomal RNA (669 nucleotides) under Methylibium sp. RNAcentral describes it as "bacterial SSU rRNA". It matches the Rfam family "Bacterial small subunit ribosomal RNA", at positions 74 to 739 of the family's 1533-position model. The record is from RNAcentral. Lineage: Bacteria; Pseudomonadati; Pseudomonadota; Betaproteobacteria; Burkholderiales; Sphaerotilaceae.
CGGGAGCAAUCCUGGUGGCGAGUGGCGAACGGGUGAGUAAUACAUCGGAACGUGCCCAGUUGUGGGGGAUAGCCCGGCGAAAGCCGGAUUAAUACCGCAUACGACCUACGGGUGAAAGCGGGGGAUCGCAAGACCUCGCGCAAUUGGAGCGGCCGAUGGCAGAUUAGCUUGUUGGUGGGGUAAAAGCCUACCAAGGCGACGAUCUGUAGCUGGUCUGAGAGGACGACCAGCCACACUGGGACUGAGACACGGCCCAGACUCCUACGGGAGGCAGCAGUGGGGAAUUUUGGACAAUGGGCGCAAGCCUGAUCCAGCCAUGCCGCGUGUGGGAAGAAGGCCUUCGGGUUGUAAACCACUUUUGUCAGGGAAGAAACGGUCUGAUCUAAUAAAUCGGACUAAUGACGGUACCUGAAGAAUAAGCACCGGCUAACUACGUGCCAGCAGCCGCGGUAAUACGUAGGGUGCAAGCGUUAAUCGGAAUUACUGGGCGUAAAGCGUGCGCAGGCGGCUAUGCAAGACAGAUGUGAAAUCCCCGGGCUCAACCUGGGAACUGCAUUUGUGACUGCAUGGCUAGAGUACGGCAGAGGGGGAUGGAAUUCCGCGUGUAGCAGUGAAAUGCGUAGAUAUGCGGAGGAACACCGAUGGCGAAGGCAAUCCCCUGGGCCUGUA